RNAcentral lists this ribosomal RNA (271 nucleotides) under uncultured Streptococcaceae bacterium. RNAcentral describes it as "partial 16S ribosomal RNA". It matches the Rfam family "Bacterial small subunit ribosomal RNA", at positions 524 to 795 of the family's 1533-position model. The record is from RNAcentral. Lineage: Bacteria; Bacillati; Bacillota; Bacilli; Lactobacillales; Streptococcaceae.
UACGUAGGUCCCGAGCGUUGUCCGGAUUUAUUGGGCGUAAAGCGAGCGCAGGCGGUUAGAUAAGUCUGAAGUUAAAGGCUGUGGCUUAACCAUAGUACGCUUUGGAAACUGUUUAACUUGAGUGCAAGAGGGGAGAGUGGAAUUCCAUGUGUAGCGGUGAAAUGCGUAGAUAUAUGGAGGAACACCGGUGGCGAAAGCGGCUCUCUGGCUUGUAACUGACGCUGAGGCUCGAAAGCGUGGGGAGCAAGCAGGAUUAGAUACCCUGGUAGUC